AGAGGCAGGGUGCCUGGAGAAGAAAUAAAGAGCCUGUACCUGAGGAACCCCAGGAUAGGGAGUGGGCUCUGCAGCAGUGGAAAUGGGGAUCACUAGUGGAUUGAUCAGGGUCUCCAGUUCUCUCUCCGAUGUUAACAAUCAGAUAGGGUCUGCCUGGAUAGAUCUCCAUAUUUAACACCUCCGGAAGCAACUCUUUAUAAAAUCAAAAGACCAUUUGAUGAAUAAAAAACACAGGUUGCCAGCAAUAAGGCUAACCAGAGGGUCUACAAAAGAUCUAAAAAUCCCACCAAAAUCUUAAAAUCUCUCAUUUAAAUAAAUGGAUGCAUCUGAAAAAUGCAGCUGGAAUUUCUCUGAUGCCAGGAGCAAAGCAGCACAGAAGUCCAUGGAGGGCAGGGAGUAAACACUGAAGUUGCUCCACAGCGACCCACAGCCUCUGCCCUCACAGAGUGGUACUGCCCCACAGCAGUACCAGCAGACCUCAGAGAUACUGUAGGUUCAGUUCCAGAUUGCCUCAAUAAACCAAAUAUCACAAUACAACAAGUCACAAAAAAAUUAUUUU
This 559-nucleotide long non-coding RNA is filed under the name Homo sapiens (human). RNAcentral describes it as "HSALNT0136043". The record is from RNAcentral. Lineage: Eukaryota; Metazoa; Chordata; Mammalia; Primates; Hominidae.